GUAGGUGGUUUGUUGCNUCGUCUGUGAAAUUCCGGGGNUUAACUUCGGGGUGGCAGGCGAUACGGGCAUAACUAGAGUGCUGUAGGGGAGACUGGAAUUCCUGGUGUAGCGGUGGAAUGCGCAGAUAUCAGGAGGAAUACCGAUGGCGAAGGCAGGUCUCUGGNCAGUAACUGACGCUGAGGAGCGAAAGCAUGGGGAGCGAACAGGAUUAGAUACCCUGGUAGUCCAUGCUGUAAACGGUGGGCGUUAGGUGUGGGGACCGGUUUGGUUUCUGUGCCGUAGCUAACGCAUUAAGCGCCCCGCCUGGGGAGUACGGCCGCAAGGCUAAAACUCAAAGGAAUUGACGGGGGCCCGCACAAGCGGCGGAGCAUGUGGAUUAAUUCGAUGCAACGCGAAGAACCUUACCUGGGUUUGACAUGCACCAGACGGUUGUAGAGAUACGUACCUCCCUUUGUGGUUGGUGUGCAGGUGGUGCAUGGUUGUCGUCAGCUCGUGUCGUGAGAUGUUGGGUUAAGUCCCGCAACGAGCGCAACCCUUGUCUUAUGUUGCCAGCACUUUGGGUGGGGACUCAUGAGAGACUGCCGGGGUUAACUCGGAGGAAGGUGGGGAUGACGUCAAAUCAUCAUGCCCUUUAUGCCCAGGGCUUCACACAUGCUACAAUGGUUAGUACAACGCGCGGCAAACCUGUGAGGGUGGGCGAAUCGCUGAAAGCUAAUCUCAGUUCGGAUUGGGGUCUGCAACUCGACCCCAUGAAGUCGGAGUCGCUAGUAAUCGCAGAUCAGCAAUGCUGCGGUGAAUACGUUCCCGGGCCUUGUACACACCG
RNAcentral lists this ribosomal RNA (823 nucleotides) under uncultured bacterium. Its description in RNAcentral is "bacterial SSU rRNA". It matches the Rfam family "Bacterial small subunit ribosomal RNA", at positions 571 to 1392 of the family's 1533-position model. The record is from RNAcentral.